UGGGGAAUUUUGGACAAUGGGCGCAAGCCUGAUCCAGCAAUGCCGCGUGCAGGAUGAAGGCCUUCGGGUUGUAAACUGCUUUUGUACGGAGCGAAAAGGUCUGCCCUAAUACGGUGGGCUCAUGACGGUACCGUAAGAAUAAGCACCGGCUAACUACGUGCCAGCAGCCGCGGUAAUACGUAGGGUGCGAGCGUUAUUCGGAAUUACUGGGCGUAAAGCGUGCGCAGGCGGUUAUAUAAGUCAGAUGUGAAAUCCCGGGGCUCAACCUGGGACCUGCAUUGGUGACUGUAUGGCUAGAGUACGGUAGAGGAGGAUGGAAUUCCGCGUGUAGCAGUGAAAUGCGUAGAUAUGCGGAGGAACACCGAUGGCGAAGGCAGUCCCCUGGGCCUGUACUGACGCUGAUGCACGAAAGCGUGGGGAGCAAACA
Molecule: ribosomal RNA, 427 nt
Filed under: uncultured bacterium
Lineage: Bacteria
Description: bacterial SSU rRNA
Rfam family: Bacterial small subunit ribosomal RNA
Source: RNAcentral